RNAcentral lists this ribosomal RNA (127 nucleotides) under uncultured Streptomyces sp. RNAcentral describes it as "partial 16S ribosomal RNA". It matches the Rfam family "Bacterial small subunit ribosomal RNA", at positions 388 to 527 of the family's 1533-position model. Lineage: Bacteria; Bacillati; Actinomycetota; Actinomycetes; Kitasatosporales; Streptomycetaceae. The record is from RNAcentral.
GCAGCGACGCCGCGUGAGGGAUGACGGCCUUCGGGUUGUAAACCUCUUUCAGCAGGGAAGAAGCGAAAGUGACGGUACCUGCAGAAGAAGCGCCGGCUAACUACGUGCCAGCAGCCGCGGUAAUACA